Molecule: non-coding RNA, 2982 nt
Organism: Lolium perenne
Lineage: Eukaryota; Viridiplantae; Streptophyta; Magnoliopsida; Poales; Poaceae
Source: RefSeq, a predicted model, not a curated record
GAUGUUAUUCAUGAUGUAACUCUGAUGGAGAUUGUACCGAAUAUUUGAACCCACGGCAGCAAGUUUCUUACGCACUCUUUUCUUUACCAGGGUACCGAAGGGGACUGGAAGGUUUUUAAUGAGGCGGCUUGCUUGCUUAAUAUAUUUUAUUUCAAAAAAAAAGAGGUCUACUAGUGAAAAAGUCUAUGCAUUGGUUCAAAUUAAUGGUCAAAAUUAUGGCUCACCACGUUAAUUUCGUUUCUAUUUCCCAGACUCGCUCGUACCCAACAUUAAUUGAUGUAAUUACCCCCAAGAGAUGGUGUUACAUCGCCCUUUGGCGUCCAGGCCCCCAAUCCUCUCCUUGCGCCCUCCUCAAUCGAUUCCGGCCAGCUCCGGCACCACCUUCACCUUCUCCACCGAACACAUUGCUUAGAAUCGUCGCUUUGGAGCACCUCCCGACGAUUCCUACCUAACUCCGGCGCUCGAUCCCGACUACCCAACUCCCGAUGCAGCUCGCCGCCCCCCGUGAACGGGCCACCGGCCCCGCGCGCCGGCAGUGACGCCGCCCUGGUGCCUCACCUCUGCAUCCCUCCUUCGGUGGCCAAGAGCAUUUCGACGCGACGGUGAAGCUCGGUGACGGCCGCGUCCGGCUGGCGGAGCGGUUGUGGCAGCAGUCCGCGGGUGCGCAGGGCUGGCGGCGGGGAGGGGUUGGGGACGUGAUGCUGGUCGCCCCGAGAUGCUCCCGGCGGCCACGACCCCUACCUCCUGCCGCCUGCCAUCGCUCCAACCUUCCGUUGGCGGCUACCUCCCCUCCUGCCGGCGGUGGUUGCUCGUACUGCCUCUCCCAAAUGGCGGCACGGUGAUGCUAGCCCUACAAGACACCGUGUUGCAUAGCCUCACUGUCCUCCAAGGCAGCAGAAGGUGGAGAUAUGGGCUAGUGAUAAAAUACAACAAGACGAUCGUACAUUCAUAGGAAAGUGGGAUGUACAAGACAUUAUUGUGUCAUCUCUACAGCUUUGUGGACCUGAAAAUUCAAGGAGCUUGGAAGAGGCACCAAGACACAUGAAACGACAGUUCCCAAGUCCUAUCCGCUGUGAAGAAGGUGAUGCUAAGCUGGGCAAAGACGGCACGGACUGUGGCGCAGGGUGGUGCUGCGCAAAGUUGCUCAACGUCGCCGCCGGUCCAGCAACUCCGACUUUGGUGCUGCGGAGGUUGAGGACGACCACCAACAAGGGCCCACCAAGUCCAAGAACGAGGCAGUUUCACCACCGGCAACAGCACCACAUCGAGUUGAUGUGGGAGGGAAAGAGAGUGGGAGGACCUGUCAGCUUGCCGGUGGGUGGUGACUACAUGGAGCAUUGAGAAGUGGGAUGUGUAGCUGCUGGUACGGCUGGACGUCGGGGGCGAGCUUUUGGCUCAGCCCGAGUUUUUCGCAGCUCGCCGCUGCUGGAGAAGUUUACCCACCUGCCAGUGACACACACAUGCUCAGCUCGCGAGUUGCUCCGAGCUGCACCGAGCUUUGCACAAGCUCAGGCCGAGCCCCUUUUUCCGGCUUGUGAGACAAACGAGCCAGCUCGAGCUGAGCUAUUUGGUAGCGAGCUAAAGUGCAGCUCGCACCGAGCCCAGCCCGAGCUGGCUCGUGUCCAGCCUUAGCUGCUGGCAGGGCCAUUGCAACUGAGAAGUGAGAAGUAUCUAGCUGGAUUUAGCAGCACCAAGUUCAAGGUUAUUGGAUCAUUGUGCUCUACCUGUAUGAAGGCAGGCCUAAAUGGCUUAGAUCCUUUUCACUCAUGGAAUUGACAUGGUAGUAUGUCAUGAAGUGGAGGUGGAACAUGUCGUCAUCUACUCAUUUGCACCUCAAGUUUAUUAUUACCAAGACACUUGUAUUGUGUAUGAAAGAGCGGAGAUGCUUGUGAACUGUAUGCUAGGUCACUGAUUUCAUUCACAUCACGACAGCAGAUUAUUAUCAUGGAUAAGAGUAUCCUAAAUAGUAAUGUUCUCUUCUUGGUCGCUGAUGCGGUAUAGGCUGGUUUUGCUGUUUCUGUCGCUGGUGGCAGCCUAUGUUGCUCGGUGAACGCCGAAUAAGAGGCCACAUUUGGACUGAAACACUCAAGCACCACACCGGCUUGAGCAUGCUACAACCAAUGCAACCUGCCAAGGUCCUUCUCGUCUCGCCCACCUUUGCCCCUGAGAGCAAGCUGGAGGCUCCUCAAAGCAUGUGGCCUGAAUCCGGCAUAGCAUCUUGUUUGCUGGCUAGUCAUUAGAAGGUUGUGGGAAACAACCUGAUGAAAAGUUGAUGCAAGACACUUUGAAGAGCAUGAGAAAUCCUAGCUCAUGUAUGGUAGAUCCUUCAGUGGAGGUGACCAAGAAUAACCACGACGAUGGAAAGGGCAUGAUGUUUUGGCUCCAGUGCUGCUGCUGAUUGGCUUUGGCUACACACCUUGGCAAAAACAAGGACGAAACCCUCCCAUGCUAUGUCAUAAGGAAGCCGAAAGGACCGAGUAUGAAUAAGAGGCUCUUUCCUUGGCUUUCUGCUCUGUCAGCUACCUCGACACCGUGGGCGCCGUGACCAUAACUGCAACUGCAUCAAGUGCUAUUUCAGAUGAUCUUGGUUCAAAUUAUCAGUGGCUAUACCUAUUUUAGAGCGGCCUAGCCUUGCCGUCCAUCUCUUUGAAGCGGGGUUUGCUGGUCAAGCACAUGCGGUGCAUGGACGCAGAAUUGGCCGGGCGGGUACUUCUGGCGUCACGAGAAGCCCUGUCAAGAAUUUGUUUGAUCCGUUGUCAUGUAACCUGUCCACCCAUGGUGCUGAUCUGCUAUUGUAGGAUACCGAAUUGGUCUGUGCGUUCUGAAAUAGGAUUUUUGUCUUGAUGUCGUUUUGUUUGGUUCCAUGCCCAAUAUGUUAUCUGCAUAGAUUCUCAGGCUUGACACACCUGACGAUUUUGUACAAGUUAAGCCUUGAUAAAUUAUUGCCUAGCUUGCUUGUUAUAUGAUGUUGCUGCUAUGCAA